This is a long non-coding RNA of Homo sapiens (human), 575 nucleotides long. The record is from Ensembl. Lineage: Eukaryota; Metazoa; Chordata; Mammalia; Primates; Hominidae.
UAAGUCAGAGCUAGACUGCAGAACUCUCAGCCCAGCUCUGCAGCAGACAUCUGCGUCAUCCUCCCAGAAAUUCAACUCAGGCCACACUUCUGGCAAAAGAAGUUUCACCCUGACUGUCCUUGUUUUCAGUCAGCUGGGCUCAGUGGGAUCUAAAAACCUGGGACAGAGUGUAGAUCCAGUAGAGGAGCCCAGGCCUCUCCUCCACGCACCCCUCACUGGCACCCCUCACCAUCUCCCAUACAUUCCCUAUGGUGGUAAAGGAGAAGACAUUCAAGCAGAGAACCCCAAAUCCCCGUGUCUCCUUCCCUUCUUGGCUAUAACUUAGUGGGAUGGUUGAGAGGGAGAAGAAAUUUCAAAUGAGCCAGAUUAAGGAAACAAACAAACAAACAAAACUGAGAAGAAAUCAAGUCCCCAACAGGCACUGAAAUCAAAAUGAUUUGUUGUGGUAACAAGUCAGAGGCGAUCUGAGGACCCGACAUAACCGAAACGUCUUGGAUGCUGGACAGUCUAUAACUGGCACAUGCCAGGGAGACAAGCAAUGACAAAGCUCAAACACUAAAGGUGGGACCAUCACU